AUAUUAUUAAGCGGAGGAAAAGAAACUAACAAGGAUUCCCCUAGUAACGGCGAGUGAAGCGGGAAGAGCUCAAAAUGAAAAUCUCGUGCCUUAGCAGGUACGCGAGUUGUAAUCUAAAGACGUAACGUCAGCGUGUGACCCGGGUAUAACUCUUUUGAAAAAAGGGAUCAUAGAGGGUGACAAUCCCGUCCGUGACCCGGAGUUCGCCGCGUACGACGUGCGUUCAAAGAGUCGAGUAGCUUGGGAUGCUGCUCAAAAUGGGUGGUAAACCUCAUCUAAAGCUAAAUACCGGCCAGAGACCGAUAGCGCACAAGUA
Molecule: ribosomal RNA, 316 nt
Filed under: uncultured Placocista
Lineage: Eukaryota; Cercozoa; Imbricatea; Euglyphida; Euglyphidae
Description: partial large subunit ribosomal RNA
Rfam family: Eukaryotic large subunit ribosomal RNA
Source: RNAcentral